UACUCUAUCCAUUUGGAGUAAUCCUACCACAGCCUGCUUGACUGGUAACGGUCAUGUUGGGAAGCCUGUGGAACAAUAUGGAAAGUCUGAUAGCCUAAAAUCAGAUGGACUG
This 112-nucleotide non-coding RNA is filed under the name Streptococcus canis. Lineage: Bacteria; Bacillati; Bacillota; Bacilli; Lactobacillales; Streptococcaceae. The record is from RNAcentral.